Molecule: ribosomal RNA, 82 nt
Filed under: Bradyrhizobium sp. Aa20103
Lineage: Bacteria; Pseudomonadati; Pseudomonadota; Alphaproteobacteria; Hyphomicrobiales; Nitrobacteraceae
Description: partial 23S ribosomal RNA
Rfam family: Bacterial large subunit ribosomal RNA
Source: RNAcentral
AAUCAAGUGCCUUAAGGGUGUUCGGUGGAUGCCUUGGCGCUGAGAGGCGAUGAAGGACGUGCUACGCUGCGAUAAGCCGUGG